UGGGAACUGCAUUCGAAACUGGCAGGCUAGAGUCUUGUAGAGGGGGGUAGAAUUCCAGGUGUAGCGGUGAAAUGCGUAGAGAUCUGGAGGAAUACCGGUGGCGAAGGCGGCCCCCUGGACAAAGACUGACGCUCAGGUGCGAAAGCGUGGGGAGCAAACAGGAUUAGAUACCCUGGUAGUCCACGCCGUAAACGAUGUCGACUUGGAGGUUGUGCCCUUGAGGCGUGGCUUCCGGAGCUAACGCGUUAAGUCGACCGCCUGGGGAGUACGGCCGCAAGGUUAAAACUCAAAUGAAUUGACGGGGGCCCGCACAAGCGGUGGAGCAUGUGGUUUAAUUCGAUGCAACGCGAAGAACCUUACCUA
This 363-nucleotide ribosomal RNA is filed under the name Enterobacter hormaechei. RNAcentral's name for it is "bacterial SSU rRNA". It matches the Rfam family "Bacterial small subunit ribosomal RNA", at positions 615 to 977 of the family's 1533-position model. The record is from RNAcentral. Lineage: Bacteria; Pseudomonadati; Pseudomonadota; Gammaproteobacteria; Enterobacterales; Enterobacteriaceae.